This is a long non-coding RNA of Dermacentor albipictus, 975 nucleotides long. RefSeq lists it as uncharacterized. The record is from RefSeq and is a predicted model, not a curated record. Lineage: Eukaryota; Metazoa; Arthropoda; Arachnida; Ixodida; Ixodidae.
ACUCGCUACACCCUCCUUCCAAGAAAAUGCACCGCAAGGCAAGACAGCACCCCGUCAACACCACAGAAGACAACACCACAAAAAGCGAAAGGAGCCUGUGGCUGCACUCGUGAACGUCUACAAGCAUAUUGUGGAAUGCAAGAAAACUGAUGUCGUGUUGUUGACCAAGGAGAAUGAGACAUCGAAAGAGAUAGGAAAACAAUAUAAUGCCAACCACGGGAUUACGCGGCAUGAUCACCUUGAAGUGAAAAAAUGUUGGAACAACCUGUAACAAAAGUGGAAAGAGAAAACUGCGAAAGAAAAGGGAGAGCGCCACAAAACUGGAGGUGACUGGCACCUUGGGCCAUGGCCCCCCAUUCGCCAUUUGGUGGGAUCGAUCGCUGGCCGCAUAUCAACGAGGGUAGAGAACUCUUUCGAUUCAGAUGGGAUAGAAUACCAGCCCCCCCGUCAAAAGUCUGCCUGUGAUGAGGCUACUGCAGCCAGUGGUCGAUGGGAAAAAUGAGCUGGACUUUGACUUUCCAGAUGAUCAGCAGGAUGCUGCCAGCCUUGCUGAGCAAUCACAGCCACCAGCAGGUACUGGAACAAAUGAGGACACCUCCCCCUCUUCAGUCAUGCAGCCCAAUGCCGGCCAAAACGUUACUGCAGCAGGCCACACCAACAACUUUAAUGCUUCUGGAGCUGCUGUCAGCUGCACUUUUGUUGCAGCAACUGCCACUGGUGAUGCCUGCAGGACUCUAAGGGGGCAAAUGGCCCUCUUGGAAAAGAUUAAUGCUGAAGUCCGUUCAGGGCUGCUGAGGGAGGAGCACGCUAUCUGUGUGUGAGUGCUUCACAAGAACCAUGCUGCCAUGCUGCAGGAAUGAGCAGAAAAGAGGGCCUUUCAAAAGCAAGUGGAAGAGCUUGAGCUUAUGAAAUGAAAAAAUGAGCUCAAGAAACAACAGCUGGACAUCGAGAUCCUUCAAAUAGAAAAAUAAAUUA